UAGGGAAUCUUCCGCAAUGGGCGAAAGCCUGACGGAGCAACGCCGCGUGAGUGAUGAAGGUCUUCGGAUCGUAAAACUCUGUUAUUAGGGAAGAACAAAUGUGUAAGUAACUAUGCACGUCUUGACGGUACCUAAUCAGAAAGCCACGGCUAACUACGUGCCAGCAGCCGCGGUAAUACGUAGGUGGCAAGCGUUAUCCGGAAUUAUUGGGCGUAAAGCGCGCGUAGGCGGUUUUUUAAGUCUGAUGUGAAAGCCCACGGCUCAACCGUGGAGGGUCAUUGGAAACUGGAAAACUUGAGUGCAGAAGAGGAAAGUGGAAUUCCAUGUGUAGCGGUGAAUUGCGCAGAGAUAUGGAGGAACACCAGUGGCGAAGGCGACUUUCUGGUCUGUAACUGACGCUGAUGUGCGAAAGCGUGGGAAUCAAACAGG
This 429-nucleotide ribosomal RNA is filed under the name Bacteroidota bacterium. RNAcentral's name for it is "Bacteroidetes bacterium partial 16S ribosomal RNA". It matches the Rfam family "Bacterial small subunit ribosomal RNA", at positions 355 to 776 of the family's 1533-position model. Lineage: Bacteria; Pseudomonadati; Bacteroidota. The record is from RNAcentral.